Molecule: ribosomal RNA, 188 nt
Filed under: uncultured bacterium
Lineage: Bacteria
Description: partial 16S ribosomal RNA
Rfam family: Bacterial small subunit ribosomal RNA
Source: RNAcentral
CCUACGGGAGGCAGCAGUAGGGAAUAUUGGACAAUGGGUGAGAGCCUGAUCCAGCCAUGCCGCGUGCAGGAAGAAGGCGUUAUGCGUUGUAAACUGCUUUUGCCAGGGGAUAAAAAGACCGUGCGCGGUUAAUUGAAGGUACCUGGUGAAUAAGCCACGGCUAACUACGUGCCAGCAGCCGCGGUAAU